UUUUUAAAUAUCAAACUUGAAUAAUAGGCUGUAUUGUAUUAUACAGAAUAUUAUAUUAUUCAGUAUGGAUUUUUUAAAAUGUGCUUCAGUUUCACAUGAUAUUUGAAUGAGUGUUAUAGUAGCCACUAUUUCGGCAUCUGUCAUGGGAUUUCAUUCUUUACAUCAUUGUUUCUUGAAUUAUGUUCUUUGUGGCCUUCUCUUUUGUUUUCUGAGUAUUGUAAAGAAGGAUGGGAAGACAGUAUGCUUUGUGUGGCACUUUUGGUCUACUACAACAAAAAAGGAAAGUUUUUUUUGUCAGGAUAGUAAAGGGUACAAGACACCAAAUUCUAUUUUUCCAUGAAAACACUGCUUAUUGCUGGAAAUUUCUGACAAUAAUAAGGACUGUAUUCUAUUGAAGAUGACCUUAUUGACCUACUGUAUUUAAAUGCUUAGUUGUACUUAAUAACAUUGGUAAGUAUCCUAAUUUUUUUCCAAUGGGUAUAUAUUUAUUUUAUUUAAUUAGACAUGCUAGGCAGAGCCCAUGAUGCGGGGUAUACAAAAAUUUGUUACAUGUACAUUACACAAAAAAAUAUCAUAAUCCAUCCAUUAUUACAGAGAAAAUUAACAUAUACAUAAAUCAAAACAAAAAUUAUACAAGUAUUAUUAUAAACAUCAAAAAUAAAUAUCUGAAAGCAAAAUAUCCAAAUAUAAACAUAUAACAUAAUAACAAAAAAUCAUCAUGGGGAGAACUAUCCAACCAAAAACAUCAUUAUAUAAAGAAAAAGACAUUAAUUACACCCACCUAUAAAAGAAAAAGGAUUCAAUUAUCUUAUCCAAAAUGUGGAUAGUCUCCCAACACUUCUUAGCCACAAGCACACUUUUAAG
This is a long non-coding RNA of Centruroides sculpturatus (bark scorpion), 864 nucleotides long. RefSeq lists it as uncharacterized. The transcript has 2 exons. The record is from RefSeq and is a predicted model, not a curated record. NCBI's taxonomy places the organism in Eukaryota, Metazoa, Arthropoda, Arachnida, Scorpiones, Buthidae.